UGACAGCUGUCGGGGUGCAUCACACUUC
Molecule: small RNA, 28 nt
Filed under: Bombyx mori (domestic silkworm)
Lineage: Eukaryota; Metazoa; Arthropoda; Insecta; Lepidoptera; Bombycidae
Description: ovarian small RNA-31398
Source: RNAcentral